GCCUUCCUGGUGUAGUGGUCAGCACGCUCGGCGCGUGUUCAAGAGGUCCGAGGUUCGAGUCCCGGCGAGGGUA
Stegodyphus mimosarum is the source of this 73-nucleotide non-coding RNA. The record is from Rfam. NCBI's taxonomy places the organism in Eukaryota, Metazoa, Arthropoda, Arachnida, Araneae, Eresidae.